Molecule: ribosomal RNA, 273 nt
Filed under: uncultured Acidovorax sp.
Lineage: Bacteria; Pseudomonadati; Pseudomonadota; Betaproteobacteria; Burkholderiales; Comamonadaceae
Description: partial 16S ribosomal RNA
Rfam family: Bacterial small subunit ribosomal RNA
Source: RNAcentral
UACGGAGGGUGCAAUCGUUAAUCGGAAUUACUGGGCGUAAAGCGUGCGCAGGCGGUUAUAUAAGACAGAUGUGAAAUCCCCGGGCUCAACCUGGGAACUGCAUUUGUGACUGCAUAGCUAGAGUACGGCAGAGGGGGAUGGAAUUCCGCGUGUAGCAGUGAAAUGCGUAGAUAUGCGGAGGAACACCGAUGGCGAAGGCAAUCCCCUGGGCCUGUACUGACGCUCAUGCACGAAAGCGUGGGGAGCAAACAGGAUUAGAUACCCCAGUAGUCC